RNAcentral lists this ribosomal RNA (452 nucleotides) under uncultured bacterium. Its description in RNAcentral is "partial 16S ribosomal RNA". It matches the Rfam family "Bacterial small subunit ribosomal RNA", at positions 29 to 523 of the family's 1533-position model. The record is from RNAcentral.
AACGAACGCUGGCGGCAGGCUUAACACAUGCAAGUCGAACGAGAUCUUCGGAUCUAGUGGCAGACGGGUGAGGAACACGUGGGAACAUCCCUUUCAGUUCGGAAUAACGUUGGGAAACUAACGCUAAUACCGGAUACGUCCUUCGGGAGAAAGAUUUAUCGCUGAAAGAUUGGCCCGCGUCUGAUUAGCUAGUUGGUGAGGUAAUGGCUCACCAAGGCUACGAUCAGUAGCUGAUCUGAGAGGAUGAUCAGCCACAUUGGGACUGAGACACGGCCCAAACUCCUACGGGAGGCAGCAGUGGGGAAUAUUGGACAAUGGGCGCAAGCCUGAUCCAGCCAUGCCGCGUGAGUGAUGACGGCCUUCGGGUUGUGAAGUGCUUUCAGUAGGGAAGAAAAAAAUGACGGUACCUACAGAAGAAGCGACGGCUAAAUAUGUGCCAGCAGCCGCCGUAA